Molecule: ribosomal RNA, 439 nt
Filed under: uncultured bacterium
Lineage: Bacteria
Description: partial 16S ribosomal RNA
Rfam family: Bacterial small subunit ribosomal RNA
Source: RNAcentral
CUACAGGUGGCUGCAGUGAGGAAUAUUGCACAAUGGGGGGAACACUGAUGCAGCAACGCCGCGUGGAGGAUGACGCAUUUCGGUGUGUAAACUCCUUUUAUAUGUCAAGAAAAUGACGGUAGCAUAUGAAUAAGCACCGGCUAACUCCGUGCCAGCAGCCGCGGUAAUACGGAGGGUGCAAGCGUUACUCGGAAUCACUGGGCGCAAAGGACGCGUAGGCGGGUUGGAAAGUCAGGUGUGAAAUCCUACAGCUUAACUGUAGAACUGCACUUGAAACUUCUAAUCUAGAGUAUGGGAGGGGGAGAUGGAAUUAGUGGUGUAGGGGUAAAAUCCGUAGAUAUCACUAGGAAUACCUAAAGCGAAGGCGAUCUCCUGGAACAUUACUGACGCUAAGGCGUGAAAGCGUGGGGAGCAAACAGGAUUAGAUACCCGCGUAGUC